UUACUAGAGCAAAGGAUAGACAGCGCCCGCGGAGCUCGCUCCCGGGGCCACCCUACUCCGGUAGGGUUUAGAGUCGUCGGGCCUCUCGGAGAAGCUCGGUCCUGAACUCCACCCUUGAAUAAACUACCUUUGUUGCUUUGGCGGGCCGCCUCGUGCCAGCGGCUUCGGCUGUUGAGUGCCCGCCAGAGGACCACAACUCUUGUUUUUAGUGAUGUCUGAGUACUAUAUAAUAGUUAAAACUUUCAACAACGGAUCUCUUGGUUCUGGCAUCGAUGAAGAACGCAGCGAAAUGCGAUAAGUAAUGUGAAUUGCAGAAUUCAGUGAAUCAUCGAAUCUUUGAACGCACAUUGCGCCCUCUGGUAUUCCGGGGGGCAUGCCUGUUCGAGCGUCAUUAUAACCACUCAAGCUCUCGCUUGGUAUUGGGGUUCGCGGUUUCGCGGCUCCUAAAAUCAGUGGCGGUGCCUAUCGGCUCUACGCGUAGUAAUACUCCUCGCGAUUGAGUCCGGUAGGUCUACUUGCCAGCAACCCCUAAUUUUUUAAGGUUGACCUCGGAUCAGGUAGGGAUACCCGCUGAACUUAAGCAUAUCAAUAAGCGGAGGAAAAGAAACCAACAGGGAUUACCUCAGUAACGGCGAGUGAAGCGGUAACAGCUCAAAUUUGAAAGCUGGCUCUUUUAGGGUCCGCGUUGUAAUUUGUAGAAGAUGCUUCGGGUGUGGGCCCCGG
This 723-nucleotide ribosomal RNA is filed under the name fungal sp. RNAcentral describes it as "eukaryotic LSU rRNA". The stretch from base 238 to 391 matches the Rfam family "5.8S ribosomal RNA". Lineage: Eukaryota; Fungi. The record is from RNAcentral.